AAGUUAUGGAAAGACGUUAUGUUGCUGUUGCAAUGAUCUCUCCGCUUUUGCUUCUGGAUGUGACUCUAAUUAUCAAGCUUAUAAAGAAAUACAAGCUUAUAAAGUUUUGUUACUUAGCUGAAGACUCUGGAGAUCUCAAUCCAGAUGCUGAUGCUGUCAAGGUUCUGACUGAAGAUUAUGAAGUUUUGUUACUUAGCUGAAGACUCUAAAGAUCUCCAGUCAGACGUUAACGUGGUCAAGGUUCUGACUGAAGAUUCUGAUUUCAACUUUGUGUUUUUUCUCUUCAUGCUUCAUCAAUUUUUCAUCAGAAUCCAAUGAAUUUGAAGAUAAGAUCAAAGUGAAUACAUGAAUAAAUAGU
This 358-nucleotide long non-coding RNA is filed under the name Lathyrus oleraceus (garden pea). RNAcentral describes it as "Pisum sativum (pea) long non-coding RNA (PSAT_LNC013522)". The record is from RNAcentral. Lineage: Eukaryota; Viridiplantae; Streptophyta; Magnoliopsida; Fabales; Fabaceae.